This 253-nucleotide ribosomal RNA is filed under the name uncultured bacterium. RNAcentral's name for it is "partial 16S ribosomal RNA". It matches the Rfam family "Bacterial small subunit ribosomal RNA", at positions 524 to 776 of the family's 1533-position model. The record is from RNAcentral.
UACGUAGGGGGCAAGCGUUGUCCGGAAUCAUUGGGCGUAAAGCGCGUGUAGGCGGCCCGGUAAGUCCGCUGUGAAAGUCCAGGGCUCAACCCUGGGAUGCCGGUGGAUACUGUCGGGCUCGAGUCCGGAAGAGGAGUGUGGAAUUCCUGGUGUAGCGGUGAAAUGCGCAGAUAUCAGGAGGAACACCGGUGGCGAAGGCGGGUUUCUGGGCAGUAACUGACGCUGAGGAGCGAAAGCGUGGGGAGCGAACAGG